Molecule: ribosomal RNA, 464 nt
Filed under: Elgiva solicita
Lineage: Eukaryota; Metazoa; Arthropoda; Insecta; Diptera; Sciomyzidae
Description: partial 16S ribosomal RNA
Source: RNAcentral
GUCUUUUUGAAUUGAAUCUAAAGUCUAACCUGCCCACUGAUAUUUAAAUGGCCGCAGUAUACUAACUGUGCAAAGGUAGCAUAAUAAUUAGUCUUUUAAUUGAAGGCUGGAAUGAAUGGUUGGACGUAAUAUUAACUGUUUCAAAAUAAAUUAUUUUAGAACUUUAUUUUUUAGUCAAAAAGCUAAAAUAUAUUUAAAAGACGAGAAGACCCUAUAAAGCUUUAUAAUUUAAUUUAUAAGAUUUUAUUAGAUUCUUUACAAUUUUAUUAAUUAAAUUAUUUUAUUGGGGUGAUAUUAAAAUUUAAUAAACUUUUAAUUUUUAAGUUCAUUAAUGUAUGAAUUAUAGAUCCACUGUAGUGAUUAAAAAAUUAAGUUACUUUAGGGAUAACAGCGUAAUUUUUUUGGAGAGUUCAUAUCGAUAAAAAAGAUUGCGACCUCGAUGUUGGAUUAAGGAAUAAUUUUAG